RNAcentral lists this ribosomal RNA (835 nucleotides) under Melanogaster sp. (in: basidiomycete fungi). RNAcentral describes it as "Melanogaster sp. partial large subunit ribosomal RNA". It matches the Rfam family "Eukaryotic large subunit ribosomal RNA", at positions 123 to 922 of the family's 3401-position model. The record is from RNAcentral. Lineage: Eukaryota; Fungi; Basidiomycota; Agaricomycetes; Boletales; Melanogastraceae.
GCGGUCUCUCGGGCCGUCCGAGUUGUAAUCUAGAGAAGCGUUUUCCGCGCUGGACCGUGUACAAGUCUCCUGGAAGGGAGCGUCAUAGAGGGUGAGAAUCCCGUCUUUGACACGGACUAACCAGUGCUUAUGUGAUGCGCUCUUGACGAGUCGAGUUGUUUGGGAAUGCAGCUCAAAUUGGGUGGUAAAUUCCAUUUAAAGCUAAAUAUAGGCGAGAGACCGAUAGCGAACAAGUACCGUGAGGGAAAGAUGAAAAGAACUUUGGAAAGAGAGUUAAACCGUACGUGAAAUUGCUGAAAGGGAAACGCUUGAUGUCAGUCGCGUCGGCCGGGGAUCAACCUUGGUAAUUACCCUGGUGUAUUUCCUGGUCCGACGGGUCAGCAUCAGUUUUGAUUGCCGUACAAGGGCCAAGGGAACGUGGCACUUUUCGGGGUGUGUUAUAGCCUUUGGUCGCAUGCGGUGAUCGGGACUGAGGAACUCAGCCCGACCCUUUCAAGGGUUCGGGGCUUUUUUUAGCCUACGUUACCGUGCUUAGGAUGCUGGCAUAAUGGCCUUAAGCGACCCGUCUUGAAACACGGACCAAGGAGUCUAACAUGCCUGCAAGUGUUUGGGUGGUAAAACCCGAGCGCGUAAUGAAAGUGAAAGUCGAGACCUCUGUCAUGGAGGGCAUCGACGCCCGGACCUGAGUCUAUGACGACGGAUCUGCGGUAGAGCAUGUAUGUUGGGACCCGAAAGAUGGUGAACUAUGCCUGAAUAGGGUGAAGCCAGAGGAAACUCUGGUGGAGGCUCGUAGCGAUUCUGACGUGCAAAUCGAUCGUCGAAUUUGGGUAUAGGG